This is a long non-coding RNA of Sceloporus undulatus (fence lizard), 1037 nucleotides long. RefSeq lists it as uncharacterized. The record is from RefSeq and is a predicted model, not a curated record. Lineage: Eukaryota; Metazoa; Chordata; Lepidosauria; Squamata; Phrynosomatidae. The transcript has 3 exons.
UUGAGCCCAGCAGAUGAGAUGUGGGCAAAGUUCAGAGCAGGAAGAGUCCCAAAGAGGUUUAACUUGACAUUAACACAUGGCAAGAGUGGUGUCAACAUUUUUCUUAGUUCAGUGUAUUUGAAUGUCUGAAGGGGCACCUUUAUUUUAAAAGCCCCAUGAGCCUUCUGACAUCCAAAUAUGUGAACAUUCAAAUGGGGGAGGGGAGCUGAAGGUUAUGAAGGGAGGGUCUUCAACUUUUUUCUUUCCUAUGCCUUGCAGUGUGUGCCUGGAAAGCCUGCGGAUACGAUGGCUGACUGGACUCUGGGUUGUUGCAGUGCUUGGAGGGGGAAAGAGGACUGUGUGGAUGCAGCCGAAGAAAGAAGCAAGAAUCUGCAUGGGAAUGGAAAAAAGAAACAUACAAGUGAACAAUAUGGGGGGCAGCGCUACCAUUAGAUAGAGAGGCAAGGAGCAGUGCAUAGGGCAAGCUACUAUACCCAAACUACUACUUUGGGUUGCCAUGAAGAAUGCUGAUCAAUGAUCAGUGUUGAGUUGUGAAAACUGGACAGAAAAGAAAGCUGAUGGGAAGAAAAUCAACUCAUUUGAAAUGUGGUGCUGGAGAAGAGUUUUAAAGAAUCUGUGGACUACAAAAAGGAUAAAUACAUGGGUCCUAGAGCAAAUCAAACCUAGAAGCCAACAUGACUAAAUUGAGACUGUUGUACUUUAGCAUUUAAAGUAUUUAGUACAUAUUAAAUAUUUAGCACUUGGCAUUUAGCAUUUUACGUAUCAUAAGAUGACAUGAGUCAUUAGAGAAGGCUAUAAUGCUUGGUAAGGUUUGAUUGGCAGAAAACGAGGAAGACUGUAUUAGAGAUGGAAUGAUUCAACCAUAGAAGCCGCAGCCCAGAGUUUUCAAGACCUGAGCAAAACAGUCGGUGACCAUGGAUCUUGGACAUAUCUCAUUGACAGGGUCGCCAUAAGCUGAAGUUGACAUAGCAGCAAAUAGCAUAACAACAGGAUCACAAUUGCACAACUGCAAAAUGUGCUACUACUACUUGGAAUGU